This 693-nucleotide ribosomal RNA is filed under the name uncultured Bacteroidales bacterium. RNAcentral describes it as "bacterial SSU rRNA". It matches the Rfam family "Bacterial small subunit ribosomal RNA", at positions 67 to 749 of the family's 1533-position model. Lineage: Bacteria; Pseudomonadati; Bacteroidota; Bacteroidia; Bacteroidales. The record is from RNAcentral.
GGGCAUCAGUUUGGUUUGUUGCAAACCAAAGCUGGCGACCGGCGCACGGGUGAGUAACACGUAUCCAACCUACCUCAUACUCGGGGAUAGCCUUUCGAAAGAAAGAUUAAUAUCCGAUAGCAUAUAUUUCCCGCAUGGGUUUUAUAUUAAAGAAAUUCGGUAUGAGAUGGGGAUGCGUUCCAUUAGUUUGUUGGGGGGGUAACGGCCCACCAAGACUACGAUGGAUAGGGGUUCUGAGAGGAAGGUCCCCCACAUUGGAACUGAGACACGGUCCAAACUCCUACGGGAGGCAGCAGUGAGGAAUAUUGGUCAAUGGACGCGAGUCUGAACCAGCCAAGUAGCGUGAAGGAUGACUGCCCUAUGGGUUGUAAACUUCUUUUAUAUGGGAAUAAAGUGGUCCACGUGUGGACUUUUGUAUGUACCAUAUGAAUAAGGAUCGGCUAACUCCGUGCCAGCAGCCGCGGUAAUACGGAGGAUCCGAGCGUUAUCCGGAUUUAUUGGGUUUAAAGGGAGCGUAGGCGGAUUGUUAAGUCAGUUGUGAAAGUUUGCGGCUCAACCGUAAAAUUGCAGUUGAUACUGGCAGUCUUGAGUGCAGUAGAGGUGGGCGGAAUUCGUGGUGUAGCGGUGAAAUGCUUAGAUAUCACGAAGAACUCCGAUUGCGAAGGCAGCUCACUGGAGUGUAACUGACGCUGA